This is a long non-coding RNA of Camelus dromedarius (Arabian camel), 1404 nucleotides long. RefSeq lists it as uncharacterized. NCBI's taxonomy places the organism in Eukaryota, Metazoa, Chordata, Mammalia, Artiodactyla, Camelidae. The record is from RefSeq and is a predicted model, not a curated record. The transcript is spliced from 3 exons.
AGGUGUUAAAUCAUUAUCAUAUGGCAUUUGUGACCAAGUAUAACCUAGUCAUGGCUUAAACAAAAAAGGUUAGGUUCCUUGCACUGUACUAGCAAUUCCAGUGAUCAAAAAUGGCUAAUUCUCAACUUCAAGUUAACAAGUCUCAUGUCAGUCUUUUUCUGAACAGCAUCAUUGCCAAUCCAGUUUCUCAAGUCAGAAACAGGAACUCAUCCUCCACAAGCCCCACCAUUCUCACCGUCCAUAUGCAAUCAAUCUUCAGGUACUAAAUUACGUAUAGAUCUGUCAAGAUGAUGUAAGACCUGAAAUCUCUCUGUAAGUUGAUCCUCUUGACCCUGUGAUUAGGAGCUUCACAAUGUGGUACCACACCUGGAAAUCUCCAGAACAAGAUCUCAAGGAAACACAGGAAAUUCCUGGAGUGGCAAAACAUCCUAUUUGAAGACAUUCAAUUACUCCUCUGUGCAUCGGGAGCAUCGUCGUUAAUUAACUAUUGAUAUGCUUGAAAGAGUUUGUUUAGCAACGAAACUUGCAAAGAGGAGGGCCAGGCAGAUGCUGACCUUGUGAAUUAGUCAUCUCCGCACGUUCCUCCAAAACAAAACUCCACAGCAGGGGAAGACAGAAGUGGAGGGUCACACACCUGGUCUUAUAUACUUUGAUGCAGAGGUGAUACAUGUCAUUUUUACUCACAGCUUGAAAGCAAGAACAAAGCCUGAUAUACCUGCUACGGGUCUGGAAUAUAUUCUGGAGCACAUGGCUAUUUGGUGAGCAGUAAAUGUUUCUGCCACACCAGGCUUUUGGCAGACUUCAAAUUUGUUCCUGAGGGGCCUAAUUCACAUCACUAACGGUAUAUUUCUUGAGUCUUCCUGGAAUCUUACAUUGAUGUUUUUCUAGUACAGUGUCUGGCACAGGGUAAAUACUCCGUAAAUAUACUCAGCAGAGCACUUAGAUCUGUAAGUUUCAUUUUAUCAUCGGACUUGAGUACCCAUUUAGCUGCUAUAUCAGAUCAGGAAAGUGUAACUGCAACUCUAACUGUAAAGAAAGUUUAAUUGAUAAACUGCUCAGCUCAGAUUCAGUUUUAUUUUAUUUUGUUUUUGAUUUUUGUAGUUUUCACUUUGUUUCUUUGCUCUAGAGCAGUUCAUUCCUAAUUGUCAUUAAAAUUAGAACAAAAGUUGUGUCCAUACACAAUGAGAGUCAUUCAGAUUCUUUGGGGGAAUCUCUCUUCAAGUGUCUGCAGCUGUGUUGGGGCACUUACCUCUAUGUGUAAAUUACAUUCAUUCCCUGUUAGAUAUUGUAUUUUAUUUUCAAUCAAUACUGUCCAUUCUGUAAUGGGUCAUUGCAUAGACAUGAAUAUGACAUUUUGGGCUGUGUCUUCUAUUUGUCACUUACUAGCACUUAGAUUGUGACAAG